Molecule: transfer RNA, 87 nt
Filed under: Cordylochernes scorpioides
Lineage: Eukaryota; Metazoa; Arthropoda; Arachnida; Pseudoscorpiones; Chernetidae
Description: tRNA-Tyr
Source: RNAcentral
UUCCUCAAGCCAGAUUUGAACCAGCGACCUAAGGAUCACCUUUUAAACAUCUACAGUCCUCUGCUCUGCCAACUGAGCUAUCGAGGG